AGUGCGAGCCCGAGGCUCUAGUCAACUCCGGCAGGCGGCUGGUACAGAGGUACGAGCAGGAGAAGAGCCGUCUCGCCGACGGGCUGCUCCACCCACGCUUGCACGGAUGGCCGGAUGACGUCGCGGUCACCGAACGGCCAAACCACCAACCCGACGAACGACCCCCACCCGACCGCCAGCCCACGGGUACCCCCACCGAGCCGGGGCGAGUGGAGGCAGCGCUGUGCAUUGUGGGUGGCGAGCGGCUGUUUUGGAUUCCCGCUCGCGGCCACCGUCGCUGCUGAAGCGGCGGCUCGCUGGCUGGUCCUCCUCUACAUCGACUCAGCCCGAACAAGGUCCCACCACCGAUGGGCGCUGCCGGUGCGUCGUCUCUGGUUGACGCUGCUCAACAAGGAGCAGCUUCACUCCACGUUCCUGCGCUACUCACUCACUCACCCAGUCCCUCACCCACUCACUCACGGACCCACUCACUCAGCCACUCACUCACCCACUCACUCACUCACCCACUCACUCACUCACCAGCUUCACUCCA
This is a long non-coding RNA of Lethenteron reissneri (Far Eastern brook lamprey), 532 nucleotides long. RefSeq lists it as uncharacterized. The record is from RefSeq and is a predicted model, not a curated record. NCBI's taxonomy places the organism in Eukaryota, Metazoa, Chordata, Hyperoartia, Petromyzontiformes, Petromyzontidae.